Molecule: ribosomal RNA, 120 nt
Filed under: Heterocephalus glaber (naked mole-rat)
Lineage: Eukaryota; Metazoa; Chordata; Mammalia; Rodentia; Bathyergidae
Source: RNAcentral
GUCUAUGGCCAUACCACCCUGCGCAUGCCCAAUCUCAUCUGAUCAUGGAAGCUAAGCAGAGUCGGUCCUGGCUAGUACUUCGAUGGGAGAAAAGAGUGUGAAGAACAAACCCUACAGAGC